AUGCUCCCCCAUGCGCACCUCCACGAGUCUUGCCCCACUCCGCGGCCAUGGCAAUGGCCAGCGCGGGGCUCGCGUGAGACUACAGCGGCGAGCACGAGGCCUUGGAGGGGAUCGAGCAGUGUGUCAUGGCGGUGCAGGUGGCUCACAGGUCGACCGUGGGCAGUGAGUGUCGCAAAGCUGGUUGCGGCAGUGCGCCGCCAGGCGGAGCUCGCGCCGCGACGGCGGCUCGUGUGGGUGCAUAGUAGCUGUGAGCGGAGACCUGCGGUGUGGCUGCCGCAUGCCAGAGUGGGGCGCAGUGCAGGGACACACACCAGCAAUCCUCCACGACGUGCCGAGCUGCGAUUUCCCCUCCUGCCACCUGUGUAG
This 366-nucleotide ribosomal RNA is filed under the name Triticum aestivum (bread wheat). RNAcentral's name for it is "partial small subunit ribosomal RNA". Lineage: Eukaryota; Viridiplantae; Streptophyta; Magnoliopsida; Poales; Poaceae. The record is from RNAcentral.